AGUUCAGGGUGCCGUUCCAGGUCACGCCGUGCCGGGAGAGCGGCCCCAGCCAGGUGGAGCGGCGGCUGGAGGCGCUGGCGCUGGAGCUGGAGAAGGAGCUGGAGCUGCACGCGAAGAAGGAGUACUUCGGUCGUGUCCAGUGGUUUGAGUUGGGCCAGAAGCGGCUUGGAAGCCAGGGACCUGCAGGCCCCAUCAGAAUAAAGCUGAAGGUUACGGACGCUUUGGAGUGCACUGCAUUAACCCAGAGGCAAUUUGUUGACAGGCGCAGCCUCUGUUUCGUGGACGGAGAACAACGAGCGGCCGCAUCCCAGGCACAAAAGUUGUUCCGAAGCAGCGGGAGGAUCCCCGUCCUGCACUUCCGCGUAGCUCUGGCAGACGGCGUGGCUGUUUCCCC
This 394-nucleotide long non-coding RNA is filed under the name Varanus komodoensis (Komodo dragon). Its description in RNAcentral is "lncRNA (ENSVKKG00000008497.1)". Lineage: Eukaryota; Metazoa; Chordata; Lepidosauria; Squamata; Varanidae. The record is from RNAcentral.